Non-coding RNA from Xylaria longipes, 131 nucleotides. The record is from the annotation of a GenBank genome assembly. NCBI's taxonomy places the organism in Eukaryota, Fungi, Ascomycota, Sordariomycetes, Xylariales, Xylariaceae.
UCUCGAUUGGUCUAGUGGUCAGGAUACCUGCUUGUCAUUGUCACUCCAAUGAUCUAGAUUCCACGAUAGUGGGACUUAGCAAUCAUGACAGCAAGCCGCAGGUGGCCGGGGUUCGAUUCCCCGAUCGAGAG